AUGCCCCUUCAGCCCUCACCUAGAGGACAUUCAGAGAAGGGCGCACAACAGCCCCAGGCUGGGGCUCCGAGACGGCGUCCGGCGCUGCCGCUGUCCUGCCCGCCGGUGCGGGGCGCCCCAGCCCGCCGGGGCCGCGCUUACCUGGGCUGGCCGCCUCCGGGUCCCGGUACAUGGUCCCCUCGUCGCCGGUUCCCUCCGGGCUCCUCAGACUCCCUCCGGCCUGCGCGCCGCGUGUGCGCGCCGGAGCG
RNAcentral lists this long non-coding RNA (248 nucleotides) under Homo sapiens (human). RNAcentral's name for it is "HSALNT0175852". The record is from RNAcentral. Lineage: Eukaryota; Metazoa; Chordata; Mammalia; Primates; Hominidae.